This is a long non-coding RNA of Equus caballus (horse), 6404 nucleotides long. RefSeq lists it as uncharacterized. NCBI's taxonomy places the organism in Eukaryota, Metazoa, Chordata, Mammalia, Perissodactyla, Equidae. The record is from RefSeq and is a predicted model, not a curated record.
UUCUGUCUCCCCAGCAGAGGCCCUCGCACGCAUUGAUUCAGCAAAGGCAGCAGAUUGCUGAGCCUGGACUGCAUCUAGCAAUCUCAGAGGGCUGUGUCCUUCCGAGAAGAGAGAUUGGGAGGAAAGGAAAGCUGAAAUAGAAUGAAGAGGGGAUGCUGAUAUAGCAUUAAUAAACAACAAUAAAAGCGGGAUAGAAAACAGUAUAAUUCCAAUUUUAUUUUUAAAGAUGUUUACACACCUUGCAUAAAAAAGACACUGAGAAGAAAUGCAUCAAGUUUUUAAAGAUCUUUAUCUCAUCGUAGGAAGACUGAAUUGCUCCCUCUACUGUCUAUACCAUGAGGAUGUUUUCCUGAAAGAUAGAAUGGAGCUGCCUUCGUUGUCAAGAUUCAGGAUAGCCCCAACCAAGAUUAUUGCCAGAGAAAGAGAGAAACUCAUCAGGAGAAGGUGGAGUACAUACACUGGAUCACCGGGAGUAGCUGAAGGACCUGGAUGACCUGGAGGAAGGCACUUUGACCCAAGAUGAAGCUAAUGUGAUGAGCCACUCUGGCUCAACUAGGCUCGGAGAGAAAUAAGUUGAGAAUGUUGGAGUGCACUGAAGGUCUUCAUUUGGAAGUCCCAGUACGUAUCACCCUUUGACAAGAUUAGCUUUGGGGAAGAGGAAUGGCCUCACCUUGCAGGCUUGUUCAGAGACCUUUUUCUGGCAGUGGAAAAACAUCAUCUCUCAGGCCAAGAGGGACCAGGGAUAUCGCGCAGCCAUGAGAAACAGCGUAGUGAACUGACCAUACCCUUUGCUUGCUGUGUGGAACUGUGACUGAUUUCCCUUGGGCUAAGUUCCCAAGUUUCUUAGAGGAUUCAAAAGGUAGGAUGUGGGUCUCCUGCUAAUAAGGCUUAUAUGGGUUAGAACAAUUCAUUAGAAAAAAAUAUCAAAGGAAUGGAUUUUUGGAACAAGUCAUAACUUGUUAUACUCAAAUAUUAACAGAUAUUAUGUUAUACUCAGAUACCUGCGGAAUAUCUCCUUUUGGAUGCCCCCAGGCACAUCAAAACUCAAGUCCAACAUGGAGUUCAACAUCUUUCCCAUUAGCCAACAAUUUACUAUUUCUCCUCCAUUCUCUGUCUCCAUUUUUUUUUUCUACAUCAUCUUCCAAGGUGCCUGAAACGGAAAGCUUAUAGUCAUUCUAAGCGUUUCUUUCUUUGGAUAUUUCACAUCAAAUAAUCAUGAAUUAGCUGCUUUUAACCUCAAAUGUGUCUCAAAUCCAUUGUGUCUACUGUGUCCCUGUGGCUCCUGCUGCAGUGUGGUCCUCAUGAGGUUUUGGUCAGACCAUUGCAAUAAGGGGAUUCCAUAUCUCUAGCCUGGCAUGCUCCAUUUCAUUUUCCAUUUUGCUACUAGACAAUUACAUACUUUUCUUGAACAAAAAAAAAGAAAAGGCUUUCAGUGGCUUAACUAAUAUUUCUUUUAGGAUGAAGUCUCAAAUCCUUAGCAGAGUCCGCAAGUCCUUCUAUAAGCUCAAUUUUGCCUACUUCUACCACUAGACUAAGAUUUUUGAAGGAAGACUAAAUUUAUUGCUUUCUUUUAAAGUGCCCAGGACUUACUGUGAUGUUUCAUAUAUAUUAAACCCUGAAAUAUUUAUUAAAAUUGAAUGGAAUUAACUUUUGGCAUGGGAAAUAAUACUUGGAAAGCUGAAUUUUUACAGUCUUCAAGUUCAUUGUGUAAUACUGUCUUUGGUGCCAUUUCUGGCCUGUGAUGGGGUUUUGCUUACCCUGGAGAAAUUCUCCUCAUGCCUCCUUUCUCUCUGUUGGUGAAGAUUACACCUGCUGCUACUUUAUUCCAGAAACUGGAUAACCUUCUGCCUUGUUUUUGUGCUGAGUGACCCUUUUGACAGACCCUGUGGCUCUGACCCUUUAAACAGUAGAAGUAUCCUGGUGUUUUUACUCGGCAGUGGAUCGUGAUAUUUAAAAAUCCCUUCGUUGAGCACCUUUGAUUCUCCAGGGAUGCCCAUAAUAAAUAUUUGCAUUAUUAAAAGAGCUAUAAACACAGUAUAAAAAUGAGUGUGCAAGGAAGUCACCACUUGGCUUUUGAUGAUGUCUACCCAAAUGAAAAAUGAAUGAAUGUGCAAUUAAUAAUAAAUGUCCUUGUGUUCCUGUUUUAAUUUUAACUCAUCAGAGAAUGUUAAAAUUAAAGUGGAACCAACAUUUGCUUUAUUGUUUUAUUUAAGGCAGAAUGUGGCCUUCGUGUAGCCAAUUCAUGCAACUUCACAAAGCGUAGAAUUCUAUUAUCUGUAUUGUCACUUAUUAGCUGUUAACUUUAUGCAUGUUACUUAUUAGCUCUCUAUUAGCUUCAGUUUCCUCAUAUACAAAUGGGGAUAAUAACAACGUAUAUAUCAUAGAACUCUUGAUGGUAUUAAAAGAAAUAGUUCCCCUGAUGCAUAGUAACCGCCAAAUAUAUAUCAGGAUGACAACUUUAUUUGAGCCUCAGCCAUUGUGAGGUAAGCAUCUAGAAUUUUUUUUUCUCAUUUUAGAGGUGAAGAAAUGUUUUCAUUGAAAAUAAUCUGUCAAAGGAUGCUUAGCUUUCUAAAUCCCACUAUAUAGAUUCUUUUUCAGUUGAGAAGAAUGAGUCAAGGAAAAUCUUUUUCUAUACUCUCUAGCCUUCAGAGAAAGAAGAGAGUAUUAUAUUUAUGGUUAACGAUUGAUAUAGGAGAGAAAUUUCACAAUUCCUGCCUCUCUGGCUUUUCUUUGAGCCCUUGACUGGCAUGGCUAUGACUUUAUUUUUCCUCAGGAACAUUUUGUCUAAAUCUGUCUUGACUUCCAUGUAUCAGCAAGUUGGUGAUUGGUUCUAGCUAGUUCAAUACUAGAGGUUACUGUCCUUCAGUCCACCACCAGCCUUGGAAAUGGCAUCUUUUCUAAAAGGUCAUGCCAAAAUCAGCAUCUCGUCAGGAUCCAGAACUCUCUUUCUUUCUGUCAAGACCUUGUGGGGGUAUAAACAUUUUUUCCAUGGAUCCAAGCCACAUGAGAGAAAAAUCAUCACCAGUCUGGAUAAGUAUUUAAAAUUAUUAACCCUGUCUAAUGUGUUUCCUUGGGGAUGAGGUAUGAUGGACAGGGGUGCAGGCGCUUCCUGCUUAAACUUUACGGCUGCUCACAAAAGAACUUACCUCCCAAAUCAGAAGGAGCUACUCCCAGAGGGACCAUUAAGACCAUCUAACUGCACCUGCUGGUAUUUUCUUUUCUCUUCUGACCUUAGUUUCCAGGGUACAGCUCACUGGACCGUGGAACUCUUGAGGCAAGGCAGUAUCUUCCUCAUCUCUGUAUCGGUAGCAGUUAGCAGUGCCUAGACCACAAACAAUACUUUGACAAUUGAUGAAUGGACGGACACUGUGGACUCUAUUGGUGUUUUGAAGUUAGUUUUACUUUACUCUGCUUUUCCACAUGGUAUUUCACAUGGGAACUUAGGAAAGAGGGAUCAGUGCCAGAAGGAUGCUAUCCUUACUUCUGACGAACCUCCAUUUAGUUCAAGAUUUAUAUCUGCUCAUGGGGAUGCUCACUCUGCCUCCACAUUCUGAACACAGCUAAAUGUAUAGAAGAAUGGAAUGCCCACCCCCACCCCAAUCUGGGAGCACUGGAGGGCUGCGAAAGUGUGAACAUAUCAUUGUUCUAGUGCACUGUAUUUAUUGAAGGGCAAUAUGGCCGAGAUGGUUGAAGCUAUGCAUGUUGUCACAUGAAGUUUGAAUGCUGGAAUUUAGACUGCAUUUCAUACCAGGAGCGAAGGGUUGAAAUGCUCUGGAUAGAAUGGAAAUGGGGAAAGACAAAAAAUAUUUCUGUGGCAAUUAAUAUUUCUAAAAGCAAAAAUGUCCUAUGUUGGGAGGAAUUUUUUUAUUUUAUUUAAAUGGGAACUAGUAAAAGCCUCCAUUUGUAGAAGGAAGGCGUGUAUCUUGUUGAAAAAGUUCUGGAUUUUUUUCUCCCCUCCUCUCUCGGUCUUUAAACAUCAGGAGAUGUGAGCAUAGUGAGUUUUAUAUAGUGUAUUGGUCAUGUUAUUGUUUUUCUUUUUCUUUUUUUAAAAAUUAAUUGUCUCUAAGCCAGUUCUCUAACAGCUGUCUGAUGGAGAAUGGUGCUAAUGUCAACGUCCCCGGCGGGUGGUCCAGGAGGGGCUGGUAAGUCCCUCAGAAGGGCAAUGCCUUCUCCUAUAAUGCAAAGGAGGUAUAUGACCUAGGAGAGGAAAGCUACUCCCAGCAGCUUUUGUAAAAACAGUUUCAAGAGAAAUACAUUCAAGCCUUUCUCUGCAUGUGAAAUCUCUUAUCUUCUUAUUAGAAGCUAUUUAGCCAUUUCUUUGAUGAAAAUUGAAAUAUUACAGACAUUCUCUCAAAAGGGCCGCAAGGCCACAAUCUUCAAGCAAGUAAGUCCUACCACUAGAGUUAGGUGGCCAGGGUCUGAAAGGGAAUAGUGAAUUCAAAAUGCUUUUGAUGCCAGCACAGAAGAAGAACUGGGAUCUCUGAAGAUAGGAAGGAGUGAAAGAAGGAAGGAAGCAGGGAAGAAAGUGGAGAGAAGAAGACAGAGGAGGAGGAGAAAGAGAGAAAAGGAAGGAAGGAGAGAAAGAAGGAAAGGAAGGGACCAAACUAACAGAGUUUUUGUGGAGAAAAACACCAGGAAAAAUAAUGCUAGCUUGCCUCUAAUUAGUGUGAAAAAAAUUGAUGAAGUGAACAUUUUUUCCCUUUUGAAAAAAGAAGGCGCUACCUUUGAAAUUGGAGCUGUUUACAAGACAAACUAAGUUACAUGUGAACAACACUAUCAGUGUUUCAACACCCAGUCUUGCAUCGUAUUGUGUAUCCACUUAAGAAAAACUGGCUCCAAUUAGGGAUCUCCUGUCGAGCGUCUUAUUUAUCAGCUUCCAGAACAGCUGUGAGCCAUUCAGGAUGCCACUAGUUUUUCCUCAUUACACUCUCCUUAGAAUUACAGAUGUGCCUGGUGCCUCCCCAGGGAACCACAUUCUAGUAAACACAUCCUUCUAUGUUUCAGGGGCUUCUCUGAAAUCAGCUUGUGAACACAGGCUGACAUGGUCAGUUGAAGUUGGCUAAAGAGACUUAAGGCUGUAAAUAUCCCCUGUAAUUUCUUGGGAAAGAAAAGCUGGAUAAUGAAAGGGAUUUAGGAUGUGUGGAGAAAAGGAGGGAGCCAGUUAAAAUAAUACACUUUCAUUUUUAAUCAGCUUUACCAAAAAAGUUGUAUUGAGAAUUUGUGACUGAGCAGCCACUGCUGGAAGUGUACACUUUACUGUCACAAGUUUAUUUAAUCAGAGGUUAAGGAAAGAGUCUGGGGCAAGUAAAAGAGAAUGGGUGAAUCACCAUAUUUCAAGUAACGUACAUAAUUUUGCUCUGAUAGUACAAACAACUGUAUUUAAAAAUCUUGUAAAGUGAGUUCUUACUGUUCCUGCAGAAUGGCUUAGUAGAAAACACAUAGUGUAUUUAGCAAGUAGCCUCAAAAUCUUAUUUCCUCUUCUCUUCCCCACCACUACUUGCUCUCAAGAGUAAAUCACUGUUGGUAUUAAUGAGCCAUAGUUGUUUUUCUUAUUGAUAAAGAAAAGAAGGUUCUCAUGUUGGCAGACACCCGGCUAUCUGGAGAAAGGAAGACAUAAUCAGUUACAGGACUCACUGAGAAACAAAAGUGUGGGGAGGCUGCAGUGUUGAUGCCUAAUUUUUUCACAUCUCACUGUUGCCACAUUUCGGGUGGUCCUUUUUCACAAGGAUUUGUUGGGGUCACGUGUGCUGCUGUGGCCAAUGGUUCAUCUCUCAUGCAAACAGAGACUGGGGAAGUACUUCCACAGCAGGGGCUUCCUUCCUCUGCGGCUCUUGGGAACUCUGCAACUACCUUGUGAAGAAUCUCAGGCUCACCUCUAGACAGCUGCCGACCCAUCAGGGAUCCCAGCAGGGAUUUGUGGAGACCAGUCCAGACCAGAAUGAUCACCCAGCAGAUCCACAGAAACUCCAGCUAAGGGAAUAAUUGUUGUCUUAAACCACUAGGCCUUGGGGGUUUUAUUCUAAACAGCAAAAUUCAACUAAUGUAGAAAGCCAGAUAAUGAAAUGGAUUAGGAGUGUAUUGGAAUCAUCCAUACAUCUAUACUCACAAUCUAUCAUUUUGCCAGACACUGUGCAAAAUAUUGGAAAACAAGACAAACAGUUUUCCUUCCUUCAGUUUGUUCUGGAAACCAAGUUACCAGCAACUACACUAGAGGGUUAUAAAUAUCAUAAAAAGAGGACAUUGGAGUACAGAGCUAGGACACCCAACCCAGGGCUGGGAGUUGAGCUGCAGAAUGUGUAGGAAAGCCUCAAAAGUAGAACUUUGAUGCCGAGCUGAUAUUGUUUAGAUGAAGGUGGGUAAGGGGUGCGGAGGUGGGGGUUGGGUGAGGUUCCAGACACAGUGAA